Molecule: ribosomal RNA, 301 nt
Filed under: uncultured bacterium
Lineage: Bacteria
Description: partial 16S ribosomal RNA
Rfam family: Bacterial small subunit ribosomal RNA
Source: RNAcentral
CAGUCGCCACGGUAAUACAGAGGGUGCGAGCGUUAAUCGGAUUUACUGGGCGUAAAGCGUGCGUAGGCGGCUUCUUAAGUCGGAUGUGAAAUCCCUGAGCUUAACUUAGGAAUUGCAUUCGAUACUGGGAAGCUAGAGUAUGGGAGAGGAUGGUAGAAUUCCAGGUGUAGCGGUGAAAUGCGUAGAGAUCUGUAGGAAUACCGAUGGCGAAGGCAGCCAUCUGGCCUAAUACUGACGCUGAGGUACGAAAGCAUGGGGAGCAAACAGGAUUAGAUACCCCAGUAGUCCCUGUCUCUUAUAC